RNAcentral lists this ribosomal RNA (497 nucleotides) under uncultured bacterium. Its description in RNAcentral is "partial 16S ribosomal RNA". It matches the Rfam family "Bacterial small subunit ribosomal RNA", at positions 28 to 507 of the family's 1533-position model. The record is from RNAcentral.
GACGAACGCUGGCGGCGUGCCUAAUACAUGCAAGUUGAGCGCUGAAGGUUGGUACUUGUACCAACUGGAUGAGCAGCGAACGGGUGAGUAACGCGUGGGGAAUCUGCCUUUGAGCGGGGGACAACAUUUGGAAACGAAUGCUAAUACCGCAUAAAAACUUUAAACACAAGUUUUAAGUUUGAAAGAUGCAAUUGCAUCACUCAAAGAUGAUCCCGCGUUGUAUUAGCUAGUUGGUGAGGUAAAGGCUCACCAAGGCGAUGAUACAUAGCCGACCUGAGAGGGUGAUCGGCCACAUUGGGACUGAGACACGGCCCAAACUCCUACGGGAGGCAGCAGUAGGGAAUCUUCGGCAAUGGACGAAAGUCUGACCGAGCAACGCCGCGUGAGUGAAGAAGGUUUUCGGAUCGUAAAACUCUGUUGGUAGAGAAGAACGUUGGUGAGAGUGGAAAGCUCCUCAAGUGACGGUAACUACCCAGAAAGGGACGGCUAACUACGUG